RNAcentral lists this ribosomal RNA (478 nucleotides) under Amphisbaena hastata. RNAcentral describes it as "partial 12S small subunit ribosomal RNA". It matches the Rfam family "Bacterial small subunit ribosomal RNA", at positions 785 to 1490 of the family's 1533-position model. The record is from RNAcentral. Lineage: Eukaryota; Metazoa; Chordata; Lepidosauria; Squamata; Amphisbaenidae.
CCCUACUAUGCUAAGCCGUUAAUUGACAGCACACAAAACAGCCUGUCCGCCAGAGAACUACGAGCGAAAAGCUUAAAACUCAAAGGACUUGGCGGUGCCCCAAAACGUCCUAGAGGAGCCUGUCCUAUAACCCGAUACUACACGAUUAACCCAACCGCCCGUUGCAAAUUCAGCCUAUAUACCGCCGUCGUCAGUCCACCUUAUGAAAGCAACUAAGUGGACAAAAUAGCCAAACACUAACACGUCAGGUCGAGGUGUAGCUAAUCGGGCGGAAGAGAUGGGCUACAUUUUCCUACCAGGAACACACGAACAGCAGAAUGAAAUAUCUGCUAGAAGGCGGAUUUAGCAGUAAAAUAAGUAACCACACUUAUUUUAAGCCACGCUCUGGGGCGCGCACACACCGCCCGUCACCCUCUUCAACUAACGCAGAGCCCUGUAAAUAACCAGCCUGCACACCCAAAAGAAGAGAUAAGUCGUA